RNAcentral lists this non-coding RNA (116 nucleotides) under human gut metagenome. RNAcentral describes it as "pemK RNA". It matches the Rfam family "pemK RNA". The record is from RNAcentral.
ACAAUGAUACUUCCGUCAAGUCCUGGGGCCGAGCGUGAAGCGAUGCUUGCAUCGCAAUCCGUCGCAGCAAAGGAUGGCGGCUCGGAGCGAUCCUCGGAGGGGUGAGAUUCCCAUGA